RNAcentral lists this ribosomal RNA (353 nucleotides) under Photorhabdus luminescens. Its description in RNAcentral is "bacterial SSU rRNA". It matches the Rfam family "Bacterial small subunit ribosomal RNA", at positions 1184 to 1533 of the family's 1533-position model. The record is from RNAcentral. Lineage: Bacteria; Pseudomonadati; Pseudomonadota; Gammaproteobacteria; Enterobacterales; Morganellaceae.
GUCAAGUCAUCAUGGCCCUUACGAGUAGGGCUACACACGUGCUACAAUGGCGGAUACAAAGUGAAGCGACCUCGCGAGAGCAAGCGGAACACACAAAGUCUGUCGUAGUCCGGAUUGGAGUCUGCAACUCGACUCCAUGAAGUCGGAAUCGCUAGUAAUCGUAGAUCAGCAUGCUACGGUGAAUACGUUCCCGGGCCUUGUACACACCGCCCGUCACACCAUGGGAGUGGGUGGCAAAAGAAGUCGGUAGCUUAACCUGCGGGGGGGCGCUGACCACUUUGUGGCUCAUGACUGGGGUGAAGUCGUAACAAGGUAACCGUAGGGGAACCUGCGGUUGGAUCACCUCCUUACCU